CUGACUGGCAAAGUCUCCCCUGUAUUGUCUUUUCUUAGAUUCUUGCUUCUUAGUGUCCAACUGUCUUUGUCCCAUACUGAUGGUUAUUUUUUUCUUUGUGCUUAUAGGUCAUUGUUGGGAAAUAUAUGGUGAAUAUUCAUGUGUAUUGUCCAAAUACUGGGAAAGAGGAUUUGUAACUUUGCAGACUAUCAUUAAUGCUGCUAUUAUAGAAGUAAGUACCCACCUGAGAAGGUCUAAUGUUCAAUGUAAACUAAUCCCAAGGGCAUCAUGAUUGUUGUGAAAGUUGAUGCUUUUAGUCCAUUUAUGCUGUGAUUUAUCAACUACCUGAGACUGGGUGAUUUAAAAAGAACAGAAAUUUGUUUCUCACAGUUCUGGAACCUAUGAAAUGCUGAGAGUCUAUGUUCCUCACAGAUGUCACCAUCUAAGUGUCCUCACAUGGUGAAAGAGCAGAAGGGCAGAAAGGGCCUUAGUUGGUUCCCCACAGCCCUUGAUAAGGCACUAAUUCAUCCAUGAGGGUAGUACCACAUUCAUGAGGAUAGUUAUCUAAUCACUUCCCCCAAAGGCCUACCCCUUAUAUCACCACAGUGAUGAAGUUGCAAUGUGAAUUUAUAGAAGGGUCCCAUUCAAACCAAAGCAGUGAUGUAUACAGGUUUUCGUAUGUUUAUAUAAUGAAGCAGAUGUUCAGACAAGUGAACCCUGCCUAUUUUCAAACUUGUUUUUUGGUACUAGGGAUUGAACCUAAGGGUGCUUAACCACUGAGCAACAUCCCCAGAUCUUUCCAUUUUUUCAUUUUGAGACAGAGUCUCACUAUGUUUCAGGGGCUGGCGUUAAGUUCCUGCUUCUCCUGCCUGAGCUUCCAGAGUAUUUUCAAACUUUUAGUUUUUAAGUAGUUCUAAAAUCACAGGAAGCUGCAGGAAUUUACAGAGAGGUCCAUUUUACUAGUCACUCAUUUUCCCCUAAUGUAAAAAUCUUAUAUAGAAAUAGUAGAAUAUUGAAAUUGUUAUAAGUACAAACUGCAACACUGAUGCUGAUUUCAUCAAUUUCAGUUCCUUAAAUAAUGAUUCAUAUUUGUUUAAAUCCUUCUUUAGGUCACAACAAAUCACUCUGUGAUAGAUGAGUUGAUGUCAGUCACUGCUAUAAAUAUGAAGACAUUACCUUUUAUUUCUAAAGACAUUUUUCAAAGUGAGAUGUUCAUUUUAUACUGUUUGCUUUAUUUUUCCCCAUUUAUAUAUUUUGUAUCACACAAUGUUACAAAAGAGAGGAAAAAGAGUAAGGAACUGAUGAAAAUGAUGGGUCUACAUGAUUCAGCUUUCUGGUGAGUGAUACAUUCAAGUAGUUCCAGUUAAUAAAUGGAAACUCUGAAGCAGAAAAAAAUAUGUUAUUGCUUCAGAAUACCAUUGUUUAACCUUGAUAUAGUAACUACAUUAUCUUUUGCUGACUUGUUGAUUUAGUCUGUGUUAAAUUUUGUCAUGGAAAAUAAUGCUUACAGUUUGCUGAGUAAUUUUUCCUGUGCUGUGAAUAUCUUAAGCUAACUCUGUGAUAGAGGAACUCUCCUCUAGUUUAUAAAUAAGGAGAGUUAAAAUGAAAGAGGGUUGUUUGGUAUAUGUUGAGUAUCAGAGCUGCAACUCUAACCAAAGUGUCCUGAAGGCACCUCUCCUAAUUGAUCUACCCACAAUUAUCAGCUGAUUUCUCCAUUCUUCCUCAUGUUGAAGACAAAAAUAUAGGCUUAUGAAGGCUAAGUUGUGUUCAGGGGCUGGGCCCAAACAUAUAUUUUUUGGAGCAAGGAAAUAUCAUAUCUUGUUAAAUGAAGUAGCAUAUGGAACGCGUUCAGGAAAUACAACACCUGGGCUGACAUGUAGGAAGGGCCUCAUAAGAGCAUUUGCUUCAUAUAGUAGUAUUUAUAUCUUGCUUCAUUCCACACAUAAUUUAAAGUAUUUUGAAAUAUAUAUGUGUGAAUAUAUACACAUAACGAAAACAUUAAUAGAUGAGUUUAGUAAAGAGAAAUGUAAAUCAUACAACCCUCAACUCCCAAGACGUCAAACGGAAUUUUGCAAGACAUUCAGUGACAAAAUUCAUACUGCCUAGAAAAAGAGGAAAAGGAAAAAUAAUGUAUUUAUUUUACCCCAAAAGAAACAUUUUUGAUAUUGAAUCUGCAUGUAGUCCUCAUAUCAAUAAAAUAUUCUUUAUGCAUAUGGAACUACUUGGAAUGAAUGAAUAAUUAUUCACUUGAAAAAUCCCUUGAAAGCCAUGUGUUUCCUGAAAUAUAAUUAUGGUCUAGGAAAUUUUUAUUAUCUAUAAAAUAUAUUUACUAAUAGUGAUUUUUAAUUCUACUAUGUGUGAAUUGUGAAAUAGAAAAAGAGGAAACCAUAUGUUAAGAGAGGGAGAAUAAUUUUUUUGCAAUGGGACAUUUGGAAAUACAAAUAGCCAAUCACAAAAUCUGUUAGGAAGGAAGAGAGAUGGAACUCCUGUAAAAGGGGCCUACUUUAAAUCCAGGGCAUGUCCUAUAGAACAGAAUGACAGCAGUCACCUGUGAUCAGGAAAGUACCAGUCAAUCCCAUACUAAAGUGAGAAAAGUAUUAUACAUGUGCGUGUGAAUUCAUUCUUAGGAUAAUUUUUGGUAUGCAUCAAACCGAAAACUUAGCUAUAUAUAUAUUUACUUAUACAUCCUUAAAACAAAGACAGAAAAAGAUUCUGAUAUGUUUCUACUAAGUUCCAAAUGUGUCUAUUCAAAACAAAUUGAAUGACACUCUUUUACUGAUGUCAUGCAUGUGAAAAGUAAUCAUUAUUUAUUCUUUAAGUAUGAUGUCUAAAUUGCUUUAUUUUCAGCAUGAGGGUUUUUGUAGAUUUAACAUCUCUCUCCAAAUUCCUUCUAUCACUCCUAUAACUUUUUUUAGAUAAUGUUAAAAUCUCUUUCACUUGUGGUUCUCCUACAUUGUGGUUUUUAAUUUCCUACUUAAAGUAGUUCACUUCUGUACUCAGGAAGUGGAAUCUGAAGAAUGUGUUAUGCUUUUAAAAAUAUGCUGAUGCUUCUCACACAGGCUGAAUCACUGUAAUGAUGUGAAAUUUUAAAAGUCAAGUAACUCGUAAAUCUAGUAUAUACAUGUUCUACUGGGACAUAUUGAAUCAAGGUCCUGGUUUUAAUAUUUUUGUUAUAUUCUUCAGUUGUUAUAUUCUUAAUUAUGUGGUUUUAAGCAGAGGAACGAACUCUGGAGAGAGAGCGCUACAUAUGCACCUUGAUACUGGUUUACUUUGUGGCCCUGAGUAAAGCCAUUAACUAAUAAAGGGAUUGCAGCUUUCUUUUUUCUUUUUUUUUGUACAUUUCUUUUUAAAAUUUGUUAUUGAUUUUUUUAAAAAAUUAAUGACAGCAGAAUGCAUUACAAUUCUUAUUACAUAUAUACAGCACAAUUUUUUAUAUCUCUGGUUGUAUAUAAAGUAUGUUGACACCAAUUUGUGUCUUCAUACAGGUACUUUGGAUAAUGAUGACCAUCACAUUCCACCAUCCUUGCUAAUGCCUGCCUCCUCCCUUCCCCUCCCCAUCUAGAAUUCAUCUAUUCCUCCCAUGCUCCCCCUCCCUACACCAAUAUGAGUAAGCCUCCUUAUAUCAGAGAAAACAUUCAGCAUUUGUUUCUUGAGGAUUGGCUAACUUCACUUAGCAUUAUCUUCUCCAAUGCCAUCCAUUGACCUACAAAUGCCAUGAUUUUAUUCUUUUUCAUUGCUAAGUAAAAUUCCAUUGUGUAUAUAUGCCACAUUUUUUUAUCCAUUCAUCUACUGAAGGACGUCUAGGUUGGCUCCACAGUUUAGCUAUUGUGAAUUGUGCUGCUAUAAACAUUGAUGUGGCUGUGUCCCUAUAGUAUGCUACUUUUAAGUCCUUUGGGCCAAAGAGAGGGAUAGCUGGGUCAAUUGGUGGUUCCAUUCCCAGAUUUCCAAGGAAUCUCCAUACUGCUUUCCAUAUUGGCUGCACCAGAUUGCAGUCCCACCAGCAAUGUAUAAGUGUACCUUUUUCCCCACAUCCUCGCCAACACUUAUUGUUGUUUGUCUUCAUAAUAGCUGCCAUUCUGACUGGAGUGAGAUGAUAUCUUAGAGUGUUUUGAUUUCCAUCUUUCUAAUUGCUAGAGAUGAUGAAACAUUUUUUGAUAUAUUUGUUGAUUGAUUGUAUAUCCUCUUCUGAGAAGUGUCUGUUCAGGUCCUAGGCCCAUUUGUUGAUUGGUUUAUUUGGAUUUUUUUUUUUUGGUGCUUAGCUUCUUGAGUUCUUUAUAUACCCUAGAGAUUAGUGCUCUAUCUGAUGUGUGAGGGUUAAAAAUUUGCUCCCAGGAUUAGACUCUCUGUUCACCUUACAGAUUAUUUCUUUUGCUGAGAAGACACUUUUUAAUUUGAUUCCAUCCUAUUUAGUGAUAAGGUGGCAUCACUAUACCAGACCUUAAACUAUACUGCAGAGCAGUAGUAACAAAAACAUUAUAGUAUUGGCACCAAAACAGACUGGUAGACCAAUAAUACAGAAUAGAGGACACAGAGACUAACCCACAAAAUUACAAGUAUCUUAUAUUAGACAAAGGUGUCAAAAACAUGCAAUGGAGAAAAGAUAGCCUCUUCAACAAAUGGUGCUGGGAAAACUGGAAAUCCAUAUGCAACAAAAUGAAAUUAAACCUUAUCUCUCACCAUGCACAAAACUCAAAGUGGAUCAAGUUCCUAGGAAUUAAACCAGUGACUCUGUGCCUAAUAGAAGAAAAAGUAGGCCCUAAUCUUCAUUAUAUGGGAUUAGGGCCAAAUUUCCUUAAUAAGACUCACAUAGCACAAGAAUUAAAACCAAGAAUUGCAGCUUUCUUAUUUAUAAAAUAAGGCACUUGGGCUAAGGCACACUGUGGUCUUGUUAGAUCUAAAAUCUAGAUCUAAUAGAUCUAAUAGUCUGGAUAAAUACUUCAUAAAAAUGGGAAUAUGGGCACACCUGAAGCAAAUCAGCAUGAAAAUGUAAAUGCAUACCAUAAUUCAUGUCAGUUGCAGUAAAAAAAUUAUGAGUAUGAAUAGGAAGAAUACAUGAAAUUACUGAAGUUACAGACUUCAACUAUUAAAGGAGUGGAGGUGCUACCUGUGGAGACCCUCAAGAAUUAUUAUAUAUCCCUGAUGUUAGUAGACUUGAGUUAUUUGACCAGCAUCUGUUAAAUUUCCUUCCAAUUCUAUAAUUAGGACAAUUUGUUAAUAUCUAAUACAACUGAAGAUACCUAAUGCUUAUCUUUUUUAAUUCAAUAACUUCAUCUUAGAGAUGUUCUUAUUCAUUUACCCAGAAAAGACAAAUACAAGGAUGUUCUUAGCAAUAUUGUAAUAGAAAACAAAUCGAAGAACUCUACAUUUCAUGGGUAGGAGAACACUAGGAGACAACAAAGCCAUGCUGUUGUAUACAGUCACUAAAUUUGUUGUAGAAUCCUUUCCCAGGAUUGAAGCCUCUACCAGUGUACAGUAUCCAUCAUCUUUCUGUGAUAAGACAAUAAAAUUAUGUGGAAAUUAUAAACAGCACAUUUAGAGAACUGGGUACCUUCAUGGGAGAAUAAUGAUCAGGAAAUGGGUACACAGUGAACUUCUGUCAUAUUGAUACUAUAGCUGUUAACCUAGGUGUCAAGUAUAAGGGAAAUCAUUGUUAUUCUUUAGAUAUUUUUGAAUAUUCAAAACAUUUCUUAAUGAAAUUGAAAUAAUUAUGUAACUUUUUGUCUUUGCUUAGGUUGUCCUGGGGUUUAAUGUAUACUGCAUUCAUCUUGGUCCUUUCCAUAGUCAUUACAAUUAUCAUAACAUCCACCCAAGUUAUACUCAUGACUGGCUUUAUGGUCAUAUUUACACUCUUAUUCUUAUAUGGCUUGUCUUUGGUAAGUUCAUAUGUUUAUUCACACUGUCUCCCUUUGAGUUCUUAGCUACAAAUAGUAAAUAUUAGUGUCCCUGUAGGUUAGUAUAGUCCCUUUUUUCGUGUCCAGUGUGUGGCAUGGUAUCCAUUCCUAGUUAUCCCUUCUCCUUCUAAUAUUCUUUCCAUAUUGCUCUUUCUUCUCUGAAUGAGAUCCUCUAAUUUCUUCUACCUGCCAGGAUGUUUUCUGCAGAAGUUGUAGAUAGAUACCCUUCCUUAGCAUAUUAAUUCAUUUUAAUUUUUCCAAGUUUAUAUUUGUACCCUAUCCUCAGGUCUUUCAGCUUCCGCCCACUUCCUCAACAACAAAAGUCCACUAUCUGAGUAAGGUCAAUAAGGAUCCUCUUUUAGAGAAAAAGAAGAAGAAGAAGAACUGUGAACAGAACAGAAUCACUAUGCCUUACUAUUUUCAUUCUCACUGAUAAAUAUUUUUCAUGAUAUAGAGAUCCUUAUACCAGUGGUUCUCAGUGAAGUAAAUGUCUGCCAUAGCUAAGUAAGUGUGUUCUCUCUUUCAGCUAGCUUUAUCAUUCCUGAUGAGUGUGCUGUUACAGAAAGCUGUCCUCACAAAUUUGUUUGUGUUUCUCCUCACCCUCUUUUGGGGGUUUGUGGGAUUCACUGCCUUCUAUAAACAACUUCCUCCAUCUGUACAGUGGAUUUUGAGUAUUUGUAGCCCUUUCGCCUUUAGAGUUGGAAUGACUCAGGUAAAAAUAUUGCUAAUUAAUUAUUGAACUUUCAAAAGAACUUGAUACUUCACAAGUGAUUAUAAGCAACACUAUUUUCAUCCAGGAACCUUUAAGCAGUUUUUCUACUUCAAAACUAACUUUGAAAAUGUUCACUUUUCAGUGUACUAAUUAAGUGCUUCACAAGUUUCUCACGUUAUAAGAUCUGUUUCAUUUGUCACAUUGAAGAUAUUUUGAGAUACUGCAGUGACUUUAUAAAAACAAGCACAUGAGUCCUUAUUUAAACAUCUAUACUUAGAACAUUGUAUUUUUUUAAACCAGUGUUUUUAAAUAAUAUUCUUUUGUUUACCCUAAAGUGGAUGUGCUUUUUCUAGUUGUUUUAUUUACUAAAAAGCUAGUUAGUAAUAAUAAUUCUAGUUUUAAUAAUAAUAGUAAUUCUAAUAAUUCUGAAAGUAAUAGUUCUAAUAAUUCUUGAUGCAACUUAUAUAUUUAUUAACUUAAAUAUAUAUUGUGAUUUUUGGUUGAAUCUUAGAUUCUCCACCUGGAUUAUAACUUGAAUGGAGUAGUUUUCCCUGACCCCUCAGAAAAAUCAUAUACAAUGCUAGCAACAUUUUCUGUGUUGGCUUUUGAUGGUCUUAUCUACUUGAUGCUGGCACUGUACUUUGACAAAAUCUUACCCCG
RNAcentral lists this long non-coding RNA (7242 nucleotides) under Marmota monax (woodchuck). The record is from RNAcentral. Lineage: Eukaryota; Metazoa; Chordata; Mammalia; Rodentia; Sciuridae.